CCCUAUUAUUUUGGAAUGUUAAAUUUUUGUGCCUGAGUAGUAUUAGUUAUGUUCUUGAAACUUAAAGAAUUUGGCGGUAUCUCAUUCCGUCCAGAGGAAUCUGUCUCGUUAUCGAUAGUCCACGUUGGACCUUACUUAGUUGAUUAUGGUUUGUAUACCGCCGUUUAUUGAUUAUCUUUUUAGAGGUUAUGUUAAUUUUCUAGUUUCUUUAUUUUGAUGUAUUUCAGGUCAAGGUGCAGCUUGUUUCUAAGUGUAAAUGAUGGAUUACAUUGUUAUUUGUUUUUGUGGAUUGUUGAUUUUAAUAUUAACAUGAAAUUGGAUUUGGUUGUAAUGAUUUGUAGAUUGUUAUUAUGAUAAUUGGUUCUGAGAUAUGCACACAUCGCCCGUCGCUCUCGUUUAGUUUAUACAAUGAGAUAAGUC
This 420-nucleotide ribosomal RNA is filed under the name Subulitermes baileyi. RNAcentral's name for it is "partial 12S ribosomal RNA". The record is from RNAcentral. Lineage: Eukaryota; Metazoa; Arthropoda; Insecta; Blattodea; Termitidae.